RNAcentral lists this ribosomal RNA (106 nucleotides) under Arabidopsis thaliana (thale cress). Lineage: Eukaryota; Viridiplantae; Streptophyta; Magnoliopsida; Brassicales; Brassicaceae. The record is from RNAcentral.
AGAUGCGAUCAUACAAGCACUAAUGCCUCAGAUCCCAUCAGAACUACGCAGUUAAGGGUGCUUGGGCGAGAGUAGUACUAGAAUGGGUGACCUCGUGUUGCAUCCC